Molecule: ribosomal RNA, 372 nt
Filed under: uncultured bacterium
Lineage: Bacteria
Description: bacterial SSU rRNA
Rfam family: Bacterial small subunit ribosomal RNA
Source: RNAcentral
UACGGAGGAUCCAAGCGUUAUCCGGAUUUAUUGGGUUUAAAGGGUGCGUAGGCGGCCUGUUAAGUCAGGGGUGAAAGACGGUAGCUCAACUAUCGCAGUGCCCUUGAUACUGAUGGGCUUGAAUGGACUAGAGGUAGGCGGAAUGAGACAAGUAGCGGUGAAAUGCAUAGAUAUGUCUCAGAACACCGAUUGCGAAGGCAGCUUACUAUGGUCUUAUUGACGCUGAGGCACGAAAGCGUGGGGAUCAAACAGGAUUAGAUACCCUGGUAGUCCACGCCCUAAACGAUGAAUACUCGCUGUUGGCGAUACACAGUCAGCGGCUAAGCGAAAGCGUUAAGUAUUCCACCUGGGGAGUACGCCCGCAAGGGUGAA